UAUUGCUUGAGAAUACACGUAAU
This 23-nucleotide microRNA is filed under the name Octopus vulgaris (common octopus). RNAcentral's name for it is "Ovu-Mir-137-v2_3p (mature (co-guide))". Lineage: Eukaryota; Metazoa; Mollusca; Cephalopoda; Octopoda; Octopodidae. The record is from RNAcentral.